This 422-nucleotide ribosomal RNA is filed under the name uncultured bacterium. RNAcentral's name for it is "bacterial SSU rRNA". It matches the Rfam family "Bacterial small subunit ribosomal RNA", at positions 42 to 465 of the family's 1533-position model. The record is from RNAcentral.
UCAGGCCUAACACAUGCAAGUCGAGCGGAUGACGGGAGCUUGCUCCUUGAUUCAGCGGCGGACGGGUGAGUAAUGCCUAGGAAUCUGCCUGGUAGUGGGGGACAACGUUUCGAAAGGAACGCUAAUACCGCAUACGUCCUACGGGAGAAAGCAGGGGACCUUCGGGCCUUGCGCUAUCAGAUGAGCCUAGGUCGGAUUAGCUAGUAGGUGAGGUAAUGGCUCACCUAGGCGACGAUCCGUAACUGGUCUGAGAGGAUGAUCAGUCACACUGGAACUGAGACACGGUCCAGACUCCUACGGGAGGCAGCAGUGGGGAAUAUUGGACAAUGGGCGAAAGCCUGAUCCAGCCAGGCCGCGUGUGUGAAGAAGGUCUUCGGAUUGUAAAGCAAUGAAGUUGGGAGGAAGGGCAGUAAGCUAAUACC